This 567-nucleotide ribosomal RNA is filed under the name uncultured bacterium. Its description in RNAcentral is "bacterial SSU rRNA". It matches the Rfam family "Bacterial small subunit ribosomal RNA", at positions 102 to 657 of the family's 1533-position model. The record is from RNAcentral.
ACGGGUGAGUAACACGUAAGGAACCUGCCUCAAGGAUUGGGAUAACUCCGAGAAAUCGGAGCUAAUACCGGAUAGUUCAACGGACCGCAUGGUCCGCUGAUGAAAGGCGCUCCGGCGUCACCUUGAGAUGGCCUUGCGGUGCAUUAGCUAGUUGGUGGGGUAACGGCCCACCAAGGCGACGAUGCAUAGCCGACCUGAGAGGGUGAUCGGCCACACUGGGACUGAGACACGGCCCAGACUCCUACGGGAGGCAGCAGUAGGGAAUCUUCCACAAUGGACGAAAGUCUGAUGGAGCAACGCCGCGUGAGUGAUGAAGGUUUUCGGAUCGUAAAACUCUGCUGUAAGGGAAGAACACGUACGAGAGGGAAUGCUCGUACCUUGACGGUACCUUACGAGAAAGCCACGGCUAACUACGUGCCAGCAGCCGCGGUAAUACGUAGGUGGCAAGCGUUGUCCGGAAUUAUUGGGCGUAAAGCGCGCGCAGGCGGCCUUUUAAGUCUGAUGUGAAAGCCCCCGGCUCAACCGGGGAGGGCCAUUGGAAACUGGAAGGCUUGAGUACAGAAGAGA